Molecule: long non-coding RNA, 324 nt
Filed under: Brassica napus (rape)
Lineage: Eukaryota; Viridiplantae; Streptophyta; Magnoliopsida; Brassicales; Brassicaceae
Description: long non-coding RNA (BNAP_LNC004604)
Source: RNAcentral
AUUUUGGUUAGCAAAAAAAAAUUGUAGUUACAUAAUUCCAAUAAUAGUUUUGUGAAUUAGUACACGGACCAUGUGGUUAGUAGUAGUCAAAUCAUUUUCUUUGAUCGUACGUAGUAGUUGUCAUGAUAAUCCUUUUUUUUUUCAUGAUAAUCCUUGUGUUUGUUUGAAAGGUUUUGAUGUUAACGGGUGCUCCCAGAGAGGCAAUAUAAUCAAUGCAUCUAUUGAGUCGCUAAUUAGUACUAUUAGUGUUCUUGGAAUCUGUCCUUUAUGUAUGUCGGUUGUUGCUAGAUUAUAAUGUGUUUAAGUGUACUCAUCGGCAAAUCA